GAUGAACGCUGGCGGCGUGCUUAACACAUGCAAGUCGAACGGUGAACACGGAGCUUGCUCUGUGGGAUCAGUGGCGAACGGGUGAGUAACACGUGAGCAACCUGCCCCUGACUCUGGGAUAAGCGCUGGAAACGGCGUCUAAUACUGGAUAUGUGACGUGAUCGCAUGGUCUGCGUCUGGAAAGAAUUUCGGUUGGGGAUGGGCUCGCGGCCUAUCAGCUUGUUGGUGAGGUAAUGGCUCACCAAGGCGUCGACGGGUAGCCGGCCUGAGAGGGUGACCGGCCACACUGGGACUGAGAGACGGAGCAGACUCCUACGGGAGGCAGCAGUGGGGAAUAUUGCACAAUGGGCGCAAGCCUGAUGCAGCAACGCCGCGUGAGGGAUGACGGCCUUCGGGGUGUAAACCUCUUUUAGCAGGGAAGAAGCGAAAGUGACGGUACCUGCAGAAAAAGCGCCGGCUAACUACGUG
This 468-nucleotide ribosomal RNA is filed under the name uncultured bacterium. RNAcentral's name for it is "partial 16S ribosomal RNA". It matches the Rfam family "Bacterial small subunit ribosomal RNA", at positions 28 to 507 of the family's 1533-position model. The record is from RNAcentral.